UGGGGAAUAUUGCACAAUGGGCGCAAGCCUGAUGCAGCCAUGCCGCGUGUGUGAAGAAGGCCUUCGGGUUGUAAAGCACUUUCAGCGAGGAGGAAGGUGGUGAGCUUAAUACGCUCAUCAAUUGACGUUACUCGCAGAAGAAGCACCGGCUAACUCCGUGCCAGCAGCCGCGGUAAUACGGAGGGUGCAAGCGUUAAUCGGAAUUACUGGGCGUAAAGCGCACGCAGGCGGUUUGUUAAGUCAGAUGUGAAAUCCCCGGGCUCAACCUGGGAACUGCAUUUGAAACUGGCAAGCUAGAGUCUCGUAGAGGGGGGUAGAAUUCCAGGUGUAGCGGUGAAAUGCGUAGAGAUCUGGAGGAAUACCGGUGGCGAAGGCGGCCCCCCUGGACGAAGACUGACGCUCAGGUGCGAAAGCGUGGGGCAGCAAACAGGAUUAGAUACCCUGGUAGUCCACGCUGUAAAACGAUGUCGAUUUGGAGGUUGUGCCCUUGAGGCGUGGCUUCCGGAGCUAACGCGUUAAAUCGACCGCCUGGGGAGUACGGCCGCAAGGUUAAAACUCAAAUGAAUUGAC
This 570-nucleotide ribosomal RNA is filed under the name uncultured bacterium. Its description in RNAcentral is "partial 16S ribosomal RNA". It matches the Rfam family "Bacterial small subunit ribosomal RNA", at positions 355 to 914 of the family's 1533-position model. The record is from RNAcentral.